Molecule: long non-coding RNA, 257 nt
Filed under: Astyanax mexicanus (Mexican tetra)
Lineage: Eukaryota; Metazoa; Chordata; Actinopteri; Characiformes; Acestrorhamphidae
Description: lncRNA (ENSAMXG00005023474.1)
Source: RNAcentral
GAGUAAAGCUGAGUAAAUCGAGGAAAGGAAUUCAUGAGGAAUUGACCAAAAUCCAAAGCAAUCCAGGACAGACUGGGAGGAGUUUUGUCUCUCAUGCAUAAGUGGAUGAAGACCCAUAAUUGGAAAACAUUAGCAGGACAUCAGUUCCAGACAUUACCAAAAAGUGAAGGCAGAUGGUGUUCUCUGAGGAAAUGACACAGCUGAGGAAGAGUGCGGUAAGUAAUAAAUGGGAAAAAUCCCUUUAGUGAUUUUCUAAG